UACGGAGGGUGCGAGCGUUGUCCGGAUUUAUUGGGUUUAAAGGGUGCGUAGGUGGCGUGUUAAGUCCGGGGUGAAAGCCCACAGCUCAACUGUGGAACUGCCCUGGAUACUGGCAGGCUUGAGUCCAGACGAGGUUGGCGGAAUAGAAGCUGUAGCGGUGAAAUGCAUAGAUAGCUUCUAGAACCCCGAUUGCGUAGGCAGCUGACUAGGCUGGUACUGACACUGAGGCACGAAAGCGUGGGGAGCGAACAGG
This 253-nucleotide ribosomal RNA is filed under the name uncultured bacterium. RNAcentral's name for it is "partial 16S ribosomal RNA". It matches the Rfam family "Bacterial small subunit ribosomal RNA", at positions 524 to 776 of the family's 1533-position model. The record is from RNAcentral.